CCUACGGGCGGCUGCAGUGAGGAAUAUUGGUCAAUGGACGAGAGUCUGAACCAGCCAAGUAGCGUGAAGGAUGACUGCCCUAUGGGUUGUAAACUUCUUUUAUAAAGGAAUAAAACGAGGCACGUGUGCCUUUUUGCAUGUACUUUAUGAAUAAGGAUAGGCUAACUCCGUGCCAGCAGCCGCGGUAAUACGGAGGUUCCGAGCGUUAUCCGGAUUUAUUGGGUUUAAAGGGAGCGUAGAUGGGUUGUUAAGUCAGUUGUGAAAGUUUGCGGCUCAACCGUAAAAUUGCCAUUGAUACUGGCAGUCCUGAGUACAGUUGAGGUAGGCGGAAUUCGUGGUGUAGCGGUGAAAUGCUUAGCUAUCACGCAUAACCCCGAUUGCGAAGGCAUCUUACUAAACUGUGACUGACAUUGCUCCUCGAUCGUGUGGGUAUCAAACAGGAUUAGCUACCCGUGUAGUC
This 460-nucleotide ribosomal RNA is filed under the name uncultured bacterium. Its description in RNAcentral is "partial 16S ribosomal RNA". It matches the Rfam family "Bacterial small subunit ribosomal RNA", at positions 338 to 795 of the family's 1533-position model. The record is from RNAcentral.